CCUACGGACGGCAGCAGUGGGGAAUAUUGCACAAUGGGGGAAACCCUGAUGCAGCGACGCCGCGUGAGUGAAGAAGUAUUUCGGUAUGUAAAGCUCUAUCAGCAGGGAAGAAAAAAGACGGUACCUGACUAAGAAGCCCCGGCUAACUACGUGCCAGCAGCCGCGGUAAUACGUAGGGGGCAAGCGUUAUCCGGAUUUACUGGGUGUAAAGGGAGCGUAGACGGCUCGGCAAGUCUGAAGUGAAAGGCAGUGGCUAAACCCCUGAACUGCUUUGGAAACUGCCAUGCUAGAGUACUGGAGAGGUAGGUGGAAUUCCUAGUGUAGCGGUGAAAUGCGUAGAUAUUAGGAGGAACACCAGUGGCGAAGGCGGCUUACUGGACAGAAACUGACGUUGAGGCUCGAAAGCGUGGGGAGCAAACAGGAUUAGAUACCCCUGUAGUC
RNAcentral lists this ribosomal RNA (441 nucleotides) under uncultured bacterium. Its description in RNAcentral is "partial 16S ribosomal RNA". It matches the Rfam family "Bacterial small subunit ribosomal RNA", at positions 338 to 795 of the family's 1533-position model. The record is from RNAcentral.